UAGGGAAUCUUCGGCAAUGGACGGAAGUCUGACCGAGCAACGCCGCGUGAGUGAAGAAGGUUUUCGGAUCGUAAAGCUCUGUUGUAAGAGAAGAACGAGUGUGAGAGUGGAAAGUCCACACUGUGACGGUAUCUUACCAGAAAGGGACGGCUAACUACGUGCCAGCAGCCGCGGUAAUACGUAGGUCCCGAGCGUUGUCCGGAUUUAUUGGGCGUAAAGCGAGCGCAGGCGGUUAGAUAAGUCUGAAGUUAAAGGCUGUGGCUUAACCAUAGUACGCUUUGGAAACUGUUUAACUUGAGUGCAAGAGGGGAGAGUGGAAUUCCAUGUGUAGCGGUGAAAUGCGUAGAUAUAUGGAGGAACACCGGUGGCGAAAGCGGCUCUCUGGCUUGUAACUGACGCUGAGGCUCGAAAGCGUGGGGAGCAAACAGGAUUAGAUACCCUGGUAGUCCACGCCGUAAACGAUGAGUGCUAGGUGUUAGACCCUUUCCGGGGUUUAGUGCCGCAGCUAACGCAUUAAGCACUCCGCCUGGGGAGUACGACCGCAAGGUUG
RNAcentral lists this ribosomal RNA (550 nucleotides) under uncultured bacterium. Its description in RNAcentral is "bacterial SSU rRNA". It matches the Rfam family "Bacterial small subunit ribosomal RNA", at positions 355 to 896 of the family's 1533-position model. The record is from RNAcentral.